RNAcentral lists this long non-coding RNA (1352 nucleotides) under Anas platyrhynchos platyrhynchos (common mallard). RNAcentral describes it as "lncRNA (ENSAPLG00000023229.1)". The record is from RNAcentral. Lineage: Eukaryota; Metazoa; Chordata; Aves; Anseriformes; Anatidae.
AAUUAUUUUCAACAAAGAGGAAGGUAUGCUAAUACUGUUUUUCAGCUUUUUGCUGGAACCCCAUCACUGUCCUUGUCACUCAUGUGCAAGAUGAGAAUGCAUGAGGUGGGAACUUUAAGGCUGAAUCCCUUAGAUCAGUUGCCUAAAGCUGAGGUGUUCUUACAAAUAUACAGGAGAGAAGCAAGCCCAAGAAAAUCAAAACAAAAUGCAGGAAAGAAGCAUGUUCUGAACAGGCUCAAUAAUAAAGUCAACUGGCAUAAAUAAGCAGCACUGUACACCCAUGUAAGCAUCUGGCUACCACAUUACUCAGAAGGGAAAAAUUGGGCCCGAAAGCUUUGAUCCAUCUUGAGCUCCUCCCCUGCAGACAAGAAAUGAGCAAUUUUGAAAAUGCUUCAUAACCAAGUACUGAAUCAUGGAUUUAAAAAAAAAAAAAAAAAAAAAAAGAAAAGUAUAAGCAGCUCAUGCACUAGCACUCACUGCCAUGUUUGUACUCCUGUGCAAAAAAUGGGAUUUUUCAUGUGAUCAUGUAUGGUCUUAGUAUCUUUGCACACUUCUGUCAGUGUGUGCGUGAGAUACUAAUGCAGACAGGCCAGAGUCAAAUCCCCAGAUUCAGGCACUUCUGAGCUCUAGACUGUUCAAAAUCCAAAUUAGGGUUUUAAAGCUUCAUCCUUUCUCUAAUAUUUAUUCAGAUUUAUGAUACAUGUAGUACUUUAGAGCUAAUUCUUGUUCAUAAUGUAGCUGUUGUUCAGUCGUGACUCUAGUGUGUAAAAAUCCUGCAUUUAUCUUUGAGCCUGUAGACAUUUAAGUCUCUGUGUUCUUCAGGGCUGUAUGUAUUUAUUUAGUCCUUUGCCUGUUUGAUAGAUGGCAGCAGAUAAAUGUUUCCUAUCCAGGGAUGUCUCAUUAGUUUUUGAUUUUAGUAUCUUCUGUCAGCAAAUAAUAGGGGAUUUUUACACAUUUGUGUGAUUGUAUUGUGUUUUCACUCUUAGUUCCUUCCGUGUUUUCACAGGUGAGGUGACACAUAAAUACGACCUUAUCCUUAAAUACUGUUUUCAAAGAAAAUGCAUUUAUCCUAUAACCAGAGCCUGAUCGCCUUGUCGUUACAGCCCCGCUGUUUUCGAAGAAGCAGUCUCACUCUCUGAUACAGAAGGUGGAGACUGGGAAGCUGGCUCUGCUAAGCCUUGCCUAAUGCAAACUGCUUUAGUAUGCACAUCACAUCAUGCCGGCUAUACUGCAGGGAGCAGGCAGUUAUCGCACAAGCGUGCAUCCUCAGAGCCAGGAUAAACACUCCGUUACUCUCCCUCUAAACUGCUCUUCUGGGAGGGACAGAAAAUAAAUAGGGAGCGAGAGAGGCA